Molecule: long non-coding RNA, 1055 nt
Organism: Trachymyrmex cornetzi
Lineage: Eukaryota; Metazoa; Arthropoda; Insecta; Hymenoptera; Formicidae
Exons: 3
Source: RefSeq, a predicted model, not a curated record
ACACCUGACAGUUCCGUUUGAUAGGACAUUGAUCUAUAUAAGCGUAUGUCGGAGCAGAAAAUUCAUCUUUCGCUCUUCGCCAUGCGGUAAAGUAACUCGCGAAAAUCGGAGUAGUCGCAACUUAAAAUUGGAGCAAAAGUGCUUAGAAUCGGAGCAAGAUAUCCGGAGCCUUGGGAGUUUAGAUCGGGCCGUUGAAGCAUAGCUUCUUGAACACGUAGAUAAAUCUAUCUACUUUUGAAGUAACUGGCGAAGGGAGAAAAAACGUGGUACCAUAAGUCGGACGUUAGUUUUUAUAUACUUUUUCACGAGAUUUUCUCAGGAGUCAUCGUUAUAAACCUACUCAUAAGUAUUCGUGUAAGUCGCGUGCGAGAAUCCUUGGAGUAUCUUCAUAGACUGUACAAAGAAACAGGUUUCAUCUCUAGCAGAAAUCCCCCUGUACCGUGGGCAUCCUCCUUACUAGUUCGUUCAGUAUUUUCAUUUCUGAUUGUCGUAAUCAAUCAUCUCUGGGAAGAUAUGAGGAACUGAUUGCUUUAUAUUGACGAUAUUCAUCACUGUGCAAUUGAAAUUUUUCACGCUACGAGGACAUUUCGUGACUUACCUUUGGCAUCCGGCCAAGAAUCAAUUUAUGGAAUUUUGAAGAACCGAUAUUAACAUUGAGACAAUCCUUUUAACUGGAAAAUCCUUGGAAAUUAUUUAUUCCACGAUUGUGUCAGGGAUUUGAUUACCAAAUACACGCGUCCGCCCGGCCUACUACUACCAAGUGUACGCCUAUUGCUAGCUCAGCACGCGAGCCGCGGGGAGCGGCGAUGGGCUGGCAAGCGCCCCGUUCGAGUCACGACGUCAGGUUUUUGGGAUCCCAAGGUGCCAACUUUCAGCGCCCAUGGCGCUACUACGCGCCAACAGACGAUGAAAUUUUCUUUAUUUUCUUUAUUUUAUAUUUUUUGUAUUUUUGCUUUGUAUACCAAUCUGAUGAAUCUGAGCUUUAACGUCCGUGGCAAAGGAGGAGAGCAUCAUACAUCAAUAUAUCACGUUAUCGCAUAACAUCACAUUUAUUA